UGCUAUACUGCAGUCGAACGCUUCUUUUUCCACCGGAGCUUGCUCCACCGGAAAAAGAGGAGUGGCGAACGGGUGAGUAACACGUGGGUAACCUGCCCAUCAGAAGGGGAUAACACUUGGAAACAGGUGCUAAUACCGUAUAACAAUCAAAACCGCAUGGUUUUGAUUUGAAAGGCGCUUUCGGGUGUCGCUGAUGGAUGGACCCGCGGUGCAUUAGCUAGUUGGUGAGGUAACGGCUCACCAAGGCCACGAUGCAUAGCCGACCUGAGAGGGUGAUCGGCCACAUUGGGACUGAGACACGGCCCAAACUCCUACGGGAGGCAGCAGUAGGGAAUCUUCGGCAAUGGACGAAAGUCUGACCGAGCAACGCCGCGUGAGUGAAGAAGGUUUUCGGAUCGUAAAACUCUGUUGUUAGAGAAGAACAAGGAUGAGAGUAACUGUUCAUCCCUUGACGGUAUCUAACCAGAAAGCCACGGCUAACUACGUGCCAGCAGCCGCGGUAAUACGUAGGUGGCAAGCGUUGUCCGGAUUUAUUGGGCGUAAAGCGAGCGCAGGCGGUUUCUUAAGUCUGAUGUGAAAGCCCCCGGCUCAACCGGGGAGGGUCAUUGGAAACUGGGAGACUUGAGUGCAGAAGAGGAGAGUGGAAUUCCAUGUGUAGCGGUGAAAUGCGUAGAUAUAUGGAGGAACACCAGUGGCGAAGGCGGCUCUCUGGUCUGUAACUGACGCUGAGGCUCGAAAGCGUGGGGAGCAAACAGGAUUAGAUACCCUGGUAGUCCACGCCGUAAACGAUGAGUGCUAAGUGUUGGAGGGUUUCCGCCCUUCAGUGCUGCAGCUAACGCAUUAAGCACUCCGCCUGGGGAGUACGACCGCAAGGUUGAAACUCAAAGGAUUUGACGGGGGCCCGCACAAGCGGUGGAGCAUGUGGUUUAAUUCGAAGCAACGCGA
RNAcentral lists this ribosomal RNA (945 nucleotides) under Enterococcus sp. M252. RNAcentral's name for it is "bacterial SSU rRNA". It matches the Rfam family "Bacterial small subunit ribosomal RNA", at positions 45 to 964 of the family's 1533-position model. Lineage: Bacteria; Bacillati; Bacillota; Bacilli; Lactobacillales; Enterococcaceae. The record is from RNAcentral.